AGGUCUAUUAGCUGUGUUGCGGCUAUUUGAAGUUGGUUACUAUCCUUCUAUAGAGUCAGGGCCAAACUUUCCCUAUACCUAAGAUCGGUUUUAAAUUCGUGCAUAUCGACACACACAGUGAUGUACAUGCUUCUGCAGGAUUCUUUUAAAUUAUUCGGCAUUUGAAUCCACACCCCUGAGGAAGUCCCAGAAGGGACAAAACGCGUUGGUUUUUUCCAAGCAUUGUUUCCAUCCAUGCUACAUGCUGAUAAAGAAGGAAUCUUUCAAGCAUUGAGUCCAUCUAUGCUACAUGCUGAUAAAGGACUGUUUCAUUAAUAGAAUAU
Pseudophryne corroboree (corroboree frog) is the source of this 323-nucleotide long non-coding RNA. RefSeq lists it as uncharacterized. The transcript is spliced from 3 exons. Lineage: Eukaryota; Metazoa; Chordata; Amphibia; Anura; Myobatrachidae. The record is from RefSeq and is a predicted model, not a curated record.